This 126-nucleotide non-coding RNA is filed under the name Anaerostipes butyraticus. RNAcentral describes it as "yjdF RNA". It matches the Rfam family "azaaromatic riboswitch aptamer (yjdF RNA)", at positions 5 to 92 of the family's 101-position model. The record is from RNAcentral. Lineage: Bacteria; Bacillati; Bacillota; Clostridia; Lachnospirales; Lachnospiraceae.
ACAAAGAUAAAAACGCAAUGUGCGUCUUUAAAGAUGCGCUAGAGCCGGUAGGUAGCCCGGCCGUCCUGUCCUGCCCGGACGGGGUAAGUAACCUGCCCCUCCUGGGUUGUCCGUUCUUUGUCCAUA